GGAGGGUGCGCCCGGCCCUGCGUCUCCGCCCUAGAGGACAGGGCUCUCCGGCGCCCCUCGU
RNAcentral lists this microRNA precursor (61 nucleotides) under Mus caroli (Ryukyu mouse). RNAcentral describes it as "microRNA 5627 (MGP_CAROLIEiJ_G0007207.1)". Lineage: Eukaryota; Metazoa; Chordata; Mammalia; Rodentia; Muridae. The record is from RNAcentral.